GUUGAACGCUGGCGGCAGGCCUAACACAUGCAAGUCGAACGGUAGCACAGAGAGCUUGCUCUCGGGUGACGAGUGGCGGACGGGUGAGUAAUGUCUGGGAAACUGCCCGAUGGAGGGGGAUAACUACUGGAAACGGUAGCUAAUACCGCAUAACGUCGCAAGACCAAAGUGGGGGACCUUCGGGCCUCACACCAUCGGAUGUGCCCAGAUGGGAUUAGCUAGUAGGUGGGGUAAUGGCUCACCUAGGCGACGAUCCCUAGCUGGUCUGAGAGGAUGACCAGCCAAACUGGAACUGAGACACGGUCCAGACUCCGACGUGAGGCAGUAGUGGGGAAUAUUGCACAAUGGGCGCAAGCCUGAUGCAGCCAUGCCGCGUGUAUGAAGAAGGCCUACGGGUUGUAAAGUACUUUCAGCGGGGAGGAAGGCGGUGAAGUUAAUAGCUUCACCGAUUGACGUUACCCGCAGAAGAAGCACCGGCUAACUCCGUGCCAGCCGCCGCGGUAA
RNAcentral lists this ribosomal RNA (504 nucleotides) under uncultured bacterium. RNAcentral describes it as "partial 16S ribosomal RNA". It matches the Rfam family "Bacterial small subunit ribosomal RNA", at positions 28 to 523 of the family's 1533-position model. The record is from RNAcentral.